RNAcentral lists this non-coding RNA (29 nucleotides) under Rattus norvegicus (Norway rat). The record is from RNAcentral. Lineage: Eukaryota; Metazoa; Chordata; Mammalia; Rodentia; Muridae.
UCCCAUGACGAGGAUGUUCACACAACCCU